This 135-nucleotide small nucleolar RNA is filed under the name Camelus bactrianus (Bactrian camel). RNAcentral describes it as "Small nucleolar RNA SNORA70". It matches the Rfam family "Small nucleolar RNA SNORA70". From Rfam's summary of the family: snoRNA U70 seems to be exclusive to mammals and is a member of the H/ACA class of snoRNA which contain H (ANANNA) and ACA box motifs. H/ACA box snoRNAs are involved in the conversion of uridines to pseudouridines (5-ribosyluracil) a constituent of structural RNAs (transfer, ribosomal, small nuclear, and small nucleolar). RNAcentral also lists the same sequence under 1 other name. Lineage: Eukaryota; Metazoa; Chordata; Mammalia; Artiodactyla; Camelidae. The record is from Rfam by way of RNAcentral.
CUGCCGUCAAUUAAGCUGACUGUGCUUUUUUUCCUAGUGGGAUCCAGUGUGCAGUGGUUGCAAACUGUCUUCUCUUCGGUAGUGUAUGCAGCCUGUUACCUGUAUGGGUUGCCCUAAGGGACCUUGAAGGCAGCU